AAACCCAAACUCGAAUGAGUCAUAACUCGGGAUCUCGUCACCGAAACCCCAAAACUCACUGAGUCCACUCGACUCGGUCGAAAUUUGCACAAACUUAGCAUCUUCGCUCUUCAACUCCUCACUCGAAGACGACCAAGAAGGCGGGAGGCCGAGCUCGUCAUCUGAAGCUUCUAGAAGGAAACUUAUAUCCGGCUGGGACUCGCCCGAAUCCGACGUCAAAUCGACGACAGGCACCGGCCGGGGAGGAGACGCCGAUAUCUGUUCUUCAAAUAUUUUCAUAACGGAGGCCAGGUCAUGAGUAGCGGGAUCCUUGUCGGCAAGAGGAUCAGAGUCAUCGAGAAUACAGAGGAGGUCGUCGCGGAGCCUCUUAACCUCAGGCGAGUCCAACUCGAACUCGUCCGAGUCAUCACGAACUCGCUUUCUGGAAACGUAAUCUUCCAUGAGUACAGAAGAAAAAAGAAUCGAGCUAGGGGUUGAAACAGAGAUAACACGUAUUGGGUGUGUGGCGAUGAGAGGGUUGGAAGGAUAAGAAGUUUAUAUAAGGGAGACAAAGGAGAGAGAGAAAGCGAGGAGAGGGAGAGUAAUGAUGGGACGUUGUGCAGGCGCGUGGGAGCGAAUACUUAGGCCAUCACGGAC
This 636-nucleotide long non-coding RNA is filed under the name Vitis vinifera (wine grape). Its description in RNAcentral is "long non-coding RNA (VVIN_LNC000051)". The record is from RNAcentral. Lineage: Eukaryota; Viridiplantae; Streptophyta; Magnoliopsida; Vitales; Vitaceae.